Non-coding RNA from Dermacentor andersoni, 222 nucleotides. The record is from RefSeq and is a predicted model, not a curated record. Lineage: Eukaryota; Metazoa; Arthropoda; Arachnida; Ixodida; Ixodidae.
GGCUGCAAGACGUUCUGCGCGCGCUUGGCGCGCUUUUGUGCGUGUCGAAAGCGUAUAACGUGCGCGAUAUUCGUGCGAGCGCAGUUUGACUUGAGCAAUCGUGGGUUUGGACUCCGUGACAUUUGCUUUCGUCAUAUGCGAGUUAGGGGCUUGCCGACAGGUAAACCGCCGCUGUACUUAGAUGAGUUGAGAUUUACACAUCAAUGCCAGCUCACAAAGCAU